RNAcentral lists this ribosomal RNA (537 nucleotides) under Turbinella pyrum. RNAcentral's name for it is "partial 16S ribosomal RNA". It matches the Rfam family "Bacterial large subunit ribosomal RNA", at positions 1799 to 2593 of the family's 2925-position model. Lineage: Eukaryota; Metazoa; Mollusca; Gastropoda; Neogastropoda; Turbinellidae. The record is from RNAcentral.
CCUGUUUAUCAAAAACAUGGCUCUCUGUAUAUUGAAGAUAGAGAGUCGGACCUGCCCGGUGAAUUUUUUAACGGCCGCGGUACUCUGACCGUGCAAAGGUAGCAAAAUCAUUUGCCUUAUAAUUGAAGGCUAGAAUGAAUGGUUUGACAAGAAUACAACUGUCUCUUUACAAUUACAUAAAAUUUUAUCUGCAGUUGAAGAAGCCUGCAUUUGAAUAAAAGACAAGAAGACCCUAUCGAGCUUAAAAAAAACUGGUGGAAUAACAAACUUAAUCCUAACUUAUAAAUAAAUAAAUAGUCAACUACUGGAAAUUUUGGUUGGGGCGACCGGGGAACAAAAAAAACUUCCUUUAUAAAAAUUUAGAUGCCCAAAUAUUGAUCCAGCAUUAUAUGAUUAAAGAAAUUAGUUACCGUAGGGAUAACAGCAUUAUCUUUUUUAAGAGUUCUUAUCGAAAAAAAGGUUUGUGACCUCGAUGUUGGACCAGAAUAUCCUAAAGAUGCAGCCGUCUUUAAGGGUUGGUCUGUUCGACCAUUAAAA